AACUUUUGACAAUGGAUCUCUUGGCUCUUGCAUCGAUGAAGAACGCAGCGAAAUGCGAUAAGUAGUGUGAAUUGCAGAAUUCCGUGAAUCAUCGAAUCUUUGAACGCAUAUUGCACUCUUUGGUAUUCCGAAGAGUAUGCCUGUUUGAGGGUCAUUUGAAAAAUCAAUCUUGACUUAGGUCUUGGAAUAAUGAGAUUUCCGUCAUUGAUAUUAUUUUUGUGAUGGUUACUUGAAAUUGAUGCUGGUCUUGGCUUGUGACAGCAGCGUUUAUGUUAAAAUGUUCGCAACUUAAUCAAGCUUUCAUGUUCUAGCUAGUUCAAUUUUCAUCUUAUUAUAAUAGGUGGAAAUUUAACAGGGAAAGUUUUUCCUUAUUUUAUAAUCGUGACCUCAAAUCAGGUAAGAGUACCCGCUGAACUUAAGCAUAUCAAUAAGCGGAGGCU
RNAcentral lists this unclassified non-coding RNA (440 nucleotides) under uncultured Archaeospora. Its description in RNAcentral is "sequence contains ITS2". The stretch from base 1 to 154 matches the Rfam family "5.8S ribosomal RNA". Lineage: Eukaryota; Fungi; Glomeromycota; Glomeromycetes; Archaeosporales; Archaeosporaceae. The record is from RNAcentral.